RNAcentral lists this ribosomal RNA (227 nucleotides) under uncultured bacterium. RNAcentral describes it as "partial 16S ribosomal RNA". It matches the Rfam family "Bacterial small subunit ribosomal RNA", at positions 584 to 810 of the family's 1533-position model. The record is from RNAcentral.
CGCGUCUGCCGUGAAAGUCCGAGGCUCAACCUCGGAUCUGCGGUGGGUACGGGCAGACUAGAGUGAUGUAGGGGAGACUGGAAUUCCUGGUGUAGCGGUGAAAUACGCAGAUAUCAGGAGGAACACCGAUGGCGAAGGCAGGUCUCUGGGCAUUUACUGACGCUGAGGAGCGAAAGCAUGGGGAGCGAACAGGAUUAGAUACCCUGGUAGUCCAUGCCGUAAACGUU